GGGCGAUGGGGCUGCUACCAUGCAGUCGAACGCUGAAGCACCUUCGGGUGUGGAUGAGUGGCGAACGGGUGAGUAACACGUGGGUAACCUGCCCUGUACUUUGGGAUAAGCCCUGGAAACGGGGUCUAAUACCGAAUAUGACCUGCCAAGGCAUCUUGGUGGGUGGAAAGUUUCGGCGGUACAGGAUGGGCCCGCGGCCUAUCAGCUUGUUGGUGGGGUAGUGGCCUACCAAGGCGACGACGGGUAGCCGGCCUGAGAGGGUGACCGGCCACACUGGGACUGAGACACGGCCCAGACUCCUACGGGAGGCAGCAGUGGGGAAUAUUGCACAAUGGGCGGAAGCCUGAUGCAGCGACGCCGCGUGAGGGAUGACGGCCUUCGGGUUGUAAACCUCUUUCGCCAGGGACGAAGCGUAAGUGACGGUACCUGGAGAAGAAGCACCGGCUAACUACGUGCCAGCAGCCGCGGUAAUACGUAGGGUGCAAGCGUUGUCCGGAAUUAUUGGGCGUAAAGAGCUCGUAGGCGGCUUGUCGCGUCUGCUGUGAAAAUCCGGGGCUUAACUCCGGACCUGCAGUGGAUACGGGCAGGCUUGAGUUCGGUAGGGGAGACUGGAAUUCCUGGUGUAGCGGUGAAAUGCGCAGAUAUCAGGAGGAACACCGGUGGCGAAGGCGGGUCUCUGGGCCGAUACUGACGCUGAGGAGCGAAAGCGUGGGGGAGCGAACAGGAUUAGAUACCCUGGUAGUCCACGCUGUAAACGUUGGGCGCUAGGUGUGGGCGACUUCCACGUUGUCCGUGCCGUAGCUACGCAUUAAGCGCCCCGCCUGGGGAGUACGCCGCAAGGCUAAAACUCAAGGAAUUGACGGGGCCCGCACAAGCGGCGGAGCAUGUGGAUAAUUCGAUGCAACGCCGAGAACCUUACCUGGGCUGACAUGCACUGGAACCGGCAGAAGAUGUCGCCCCCUUGUGACGGUGUGGAAGGUGGUUGCAUGCUGUCGUCAGCUCGUGUCUGAGAAUGUGGGUAAGUCCGCAACGAGCGCACCCUUGUUCCUGGUUUGCCAGCCGUAUUGGCGGUACUCGCCGGAAACUUGCCGGGGUCACCG
This 1100-nucleotide ribosomal RNA is filed under the name Amycolatopsis sp. RNAcentral's name for it is "bacterial SSU rRNA". It matches the Rfam family "Bacterial small subunit ribosomal RNA", at positions 37 to 1164 of the family's 1533-position model. Lineage: Bacteria; Bacillati; Actinomycetota; Actinomycetes; Pseudonocardiales; Pseudonocardiaceae. The record is from RNAcentral.